AACGAACGCUGGCGGCAUGCCUAACACAUGCAAGUCGAACGAGACCUUCGGGUCUAGUGGCUCACGGGUGCGUAACGCGUGGGAACCUGCCCUUAGGUUCGGAAUAACUCCCCGAAAGGGGUGCUAAUACCGGAUAAUGUCUUCGGACCAAAGAUUUAUCGCCUUUGGAUGGGCCCGCGUUGGAUUAGCUAGUUGGUAUGGUAAAAGCCUACCAAGGCGACGAUCCAUAGCUGGUCUGAGAGGAUGAUCAGCCACACUGGGACUGAGACACGGCCCAGACUCCUACGGGAGGCAGCAGUGGGGAAUAUUGGACAAUGGGCGAAAGCCUGAUUCAGCAAUGCCGCGUGAGUGAUGAAGGCCUUAGGGUUGUAAAGCUCUUUUACCCGGGAUGAUAAUGACAGUACCGGGAGAAUAAGCUCCGGCUAAAUCCGUG
Molecule: ribosomal RNA, 433 nt
Filed under: uncultured bacterium
Lineage: Bacteria
Description: partial 16S ribosomal RNA
Rfam family: Bacterial small subunit ribosomal RNA
Source: RNAcentral